UUCUCUUUAGUAUAUCAAGAGUUCAUUGGUCUGUUUAAUAAGGGAAAAAAUGUGGGUUCUAUGUCUUGCAACAUUGUUUUUUAUAGGCAUAACACAUUGGGUUUAUAGAUGGAGAAACCCUAGUUGCAAUGGAAAACUCCCACCUGGUUCAAUGGGUUUGCCCCUUCUUGGUGAAUCCCUUAAGUUUUUCACCCCCUACUCUUCUUCUGAUAUUCAUCCAUUCAUAAAGCAGAAAGUGGAGAGGUAUAAUAUAUGCAAGCUUCUCGUUUUUCAUGAGUUUUUCAUGAGAAUGUAUUACUUAAUAUUUGUGCUCCUUGGUUUCUUUUCUUUUCAGGUAUGGACCAAUCUUCAAGACAGGCUUUGCUGGACGACCAACUGUGGUGUCCACUGACCAGAAAUUUAAUAACUUAAUAUUCCAACAAGAAGGAGAAAUGUUCCAGAGCUGGUACCCAGAUACACUAAACAAGAUUUUUGGGAGACAAAAUUUAUCUUCCCUGCAUGGUUCUGUGUUCAAGUACGUUAAGAACAUGGUGCUCCAUAUGUUUGGUCCUGAAGGCCUCAAAAGGAUGCUCUCAGAGGUGGAACAGAAAGCGUGCACAACAUUGCAGCAGUGGUCAUGUCAGGAUACUCUUGAGUUAUGCGAUGCAACAAAAAGGGUCAAAUUAUAGAACUCAUAAUUAACUUUCUUUAUUUUCAUUUAGAAGCCUUUUCCUUUGAUUUCCUGAUUCGUCCUUCAUUUCCAGAUGAUAUUUGAGUUGACUGCAAAAAAACUUCUCAGUUGUGAUUCGAAAGAGACUUUAGAGAGUUUAAUGGACAACUUUAAUUCAUUUAUGGAAGGACUCAUCUCGCUCCCUCUCAACAUUCCAGGAACAGCUUAUCACAAAUGUUUGCAGGCAACUCCAUUAUCCACACCAACACUAGUCAUUUAUGACUAUCAUUACUUUAACUUGCUUCACGCAAUUAUGUUGUCCUAUAUACACUGAUUUUCUUGGGAUUUUUCAUCAUGAUGGAGUUAUUUUUUUUUUUGUUUUUACCAAAAUGGGGUCCGAUUAAAAAAAUUACAAAUUUAGACAAGUCGUGUCAAUUUGGCACGACUUCAUAUGCAUAAAUCGUCCCAAUUUGACACGACUCUGCCAUGUCAUAAUGAAGUCGUGCCAACUUGGCACGACUUUUGUCCUGUCAUACUGAAGUCGUGUCAACUUGGCACGACUUCUGCCACGUCAUAAUUUUUUAAAAAAAUUUUAUUGUUUAUAUAUUGGGUAGUAAGUUAUGUAAUGUUAAAAAUUAAUUUGAUACAUAAUUUUCUAAGAGUGUCCGAAGUCGUGCUAAGUUGACACGAUUUCAGUAUGACAGGACAGAAGUCGUGCCAAGUUGACACGAUUUCAGUAUGACAGGGCAGAAGUCGUGUCAAGUUGGCACGACUUUAGUAUGACAUGGAAGAGUCGUGUCAAAUUGGAACGAUUUGUGCAUAUGAAGUCGUGCCAAAUUAGCACGACUUGUCUAAAUUUGUAAUUUUUUUAAACGGACCCCAUUUUGGUAAAAAAAUAAUAAUAAAAAUAACUCCAUAAUGUAAAAUAACCUUUUCUCGGAUGUUUAGCUUAUAUUUAGGUAGGAUAUGAUAUUGACAUGUGUACGUGCAUGUUAAGUAUUAAUUCACUCAAUAAAAUUUAUGAAUAUUUAAAUAGGGUAACUUUGAUUUGGUGGUAGAUAACCACAUUUGCCUACUCAGUCCGAUGUUUUGAGAAUUAAAAAUUAAAGAGAAUGAAAGUGAAGGUGUCACUUUUGACAGGGUAGGAAAAGGGCAAUGAAGACACUGAAGAGCAUGCUGAAGGAAAGAAGGGAAAAGCCUAGGAAAGAAGUAAGCGAUUUCUUUGAUUAUGUAGUGGAAGAACUUUCAAAAGAGGGAACACCACUCAAUGAAGAGAUGGCUUUGGACCUCAUGUUUACGCUACUCUUUGCAAGCUUUGAAACCACUUCUUUGGCUCUCACAUAUGCCAUUAAAGAACUAUCUCACCAUCCCUCAGUGCUGAAGAAAUUACAAGUACGUUAAAUAUAUGUUUUCUUCUUAUAAGUCAUGGACAACAAUUUUUAAUUAUUUCUUUGGGCAUAUGGGUUUGCAGGAAGAACAUGAAGGCAUCCUGAAAGGUCGUGAAGAUCCAAACUCUGAACUUACAUGGCAUGAGUACAAAUCAAUGACUUUUACAUUUCAGGUGCUUCAAUCCUCAACAAAACAUUUUUCAUAUAUUUUAACCAGAGAAUCUAUGUUUGAUUUAAUUCUGUGUGUGCAUCUUAUUUAGUUGAUGACUAUUUGCAGGUCAUAAAUGAAACCAUCAGGUUGGCAAACAUAGUUCCAGGAAUAUUUCGGAAGACACUACAGGAGAUUAAAUAUGGGGGUAUGUGAUUGCUUCAUUAUAUCAAAUCCUUCUAAAAUCUGAAGCCUUACUCAAUGAAACUAACACUGCUCAUAAAUAAUACACACAAGCAGGAUACACCAUACCAGCAGGGUGGGCAAUAAUGGUGUGUCCCCCAGCUGUACACUUGAACCCGACCAUAUACGAUGAUCCUCUCUCCUUCAACCCAAGCAGAUGGGUGGUAAGUCUAAUUAACCUUUUCUUGUUUUAGAGUUUUUUAAGGUUCUUCAUUUGUUUUAUUUUCAAGUACCCUAUUAACUAGCUAUUUUUACAAUUAAAAAAAUCAACCCUCUAUCUAAAUUAAAAUUAAAUGAUAUACAUGAGUUAAAAAAAAUAAGAUUUUGAAAAAAAAUAGAAAUAGUUUCAAGAAAUUAAUUUAUCCAUACAUUAAUUUUAAUUUUUUAAAGAAACCCAAUAUAUUUUUAUUUUUAUUUUUCUCUCAUUAAUAUAAUUAUGCAAAGUUUUCCAGUGACAUUUGAUAUUUGCAUGCUCUGCAAUUCUAACAAAAAACUUGUUCUAUGUAGGGAAUGGAUAUGAGUCCCGCAAGCAAACAUUUAAUGGGUUUUGGUGGAGGCAUAAGAUUUUGUGUUGGAGCAGACUUUGCAAAGGUUCAGAUGGCUGUUUUUCUUCAUAACUUGGUUACAAAGUAUAGGUAAUAUAACUUCAUUGUGUAUCUUCAUGUGAAUAAUUUAAAUUAAAACAUUAAUGCAUCAUCUUCAAAUCUUUGCUGAUAAAAGAAAUCUUCAAACCUAGGUGGCGACCCAUCAAAGGAGGGAAUAUUGUUCGAAAUCUUGGGUUACAAUUUCCUGAAGGCUUUUAUGUCCGGGUAAUGAAGAAAGAUGCAUGGAAGUAUGAAUCAGAAUGAAUAUAAGAAAAUGUUGUGUUAUUGACAAUAAAAUAAAAUUUACGGUUCUUUGUCUUUUCUAUAGUUAAAUGUAUCAUGUGAUCUACGUACCUGAUAUCACAUAGUAGAAUAAUCCUUUAUUGUAAAAGCUGAAUGGAAAAGUAGAAUGUUUUAAUUUGUAAUAAAGAAGUGAAGGUGUAAGAUUAUCUAUAAACUUAAACCGAUUACGUUUGUUGAAAUUGGUAUGAGUUUUAUUCUUAUAAAAACACAAAUGAAACAACAAACACAGAAACAUCAGUGAUAGGGACUUCUUUUUGUUAGAAUAGUUUAUAAGUCUAGUUAUAUAUAAUGAGUAUUGUUCUUGUCGGUUGACUCAGCCGCUGUUGACUUCAGAGGUAGAUGGUGACUCCUCCUAUUUUUGGUGGUUUCUGCUCUCUCCUCAAGUGGUCGAUAGUGGAUCCAUUGAAACAGAGGGGGUCCUACCUGUUGAUUGUACUCUGACGAUCAAGUCAGUAAUGGGCUAAGAAACAGUAAAUAUGUAAAACAGUCUCAGUCUUAGAAACGACGUACCUUUCUAGGGUUCUUACCACCCUUUAUAUAGGUUGUAUCUAGGUCAACUCUCAGUCCCAUGAGGAUCUUUCCUUUAGUGGAAUUAGGGUUAUUGGUGAGGCAUCCUGUGACAUGUUGCACAAGCUUAGCACAGCCGCGACACAGGACUUCCCUCUUAUGGAGUGCAAAAUCUUAACAGUACGCCCACCAGGGUACCAACUCAUGCACCAGCGCUGCGGGCCAUCUAUUCAUGAGUGCCUUAAGUAUUCACGUGUCAUGCAUGUAAUCUAUCCUUGGAAACCUUAACCCUUACGGACCUUAACGCCUCCAAAGAUUAUUUACUUGUGCUAGACCUGAACGUAUUAUACACACCACAAGCAUGAACCCUCCUGAGAUUUAGGUCUCUCUUAUAUCUGGAUGAUAACUCAUUAUUAUUUCUGGGGCCCACCUACGUGGCCUAUUAGUGCGACCGGACCACCAAGAUCCGAUGCCACAUCUGAUGCCGGUCUCUGCAGCCGAUGUCUGAGGUUUGGCUAGUACACAAGCCCCCCGGCUCGAGUUGUAACUUGUUUCAGCGAAGAGGCUAAGUGAUCGCCCACGGCGACCUACGUGGCGAACGAGUGAUAGGACGUGCACAGUGCAUUGAGGUGAUGUCUCACCAUACUUUUUCACCAGCGUACACGUGGCAAAAUCAAUGGUUGAGGCUUGUUGCCGUUUGCGCUUCUCUGUACCUUAAACCCCUAAACUCUUAUGCUCCUUUCUCUAUUUCAUCUACUUUACGAAACACUCUACCUUCUCUCCUUACACACUUCAACUUCCCGAAGCACGAUCACGACAAGGUAUGCCCUUUAUCCCAUAAUCGCCUUUUGCCUUUCUAUUCCGAUGCUCAUAACAUGCAUUAACUGUUCUGGGACUGUUUAUGUUUUCUGCACUUUAUGAUUUAUGUUCUUCGUUUUGGCAUCUAUAUCUGUUUUUUCUUUUGAAUUUCUGAGGCACACCAUCCCCUUUCUCUAAACUCUGCCCUUUUCUUCCUUUUUCCAUCUCCUUCUUUAGCUUUUCUUCUCGAGAUGGCUCCAACAAAAACUACUCCAAACCCACCUCCUUCCAUCAACUACAAAUCUCUAUACCGCUGGGCUCCUGACAACCUUCUAGCCGAAACCUCCAAAAUCACCUCCUUUAAGGAUAUAGAGGCGUAUAAGGAGGGUGAGUCCAGCAAAAACUAUUGUAUUUUCAGGAAGGAGCACGACAGAUUCGUGAAGGUCCUGCAUUGCAGGGAAGGCGAACCUGUGUGUAUUGAUGACUCCGCGGACCCAAAAGAUCCCUUCUUCUUCUUGUAUUCCACCAUCUUCAAAAGGCUCAAGCAUCGCCUACCAUUCACUGGGUUUGAGUGCGCCCUUCUAACCAAGGUCAACGCGACCCCUGCCCAGCUACAUCCCAACAGUUGGGCAUUCGUCAUGGCCUUUUCUAUUCUCUGCAACCACUUUGGUCAUACGCCAUCGGUGGAUGUUUUUCUACACUUCUUUGAGGCUAAGAGUCCAGGGAAGAAGCUGUGGAUGAGAUUCAAUGGGGUCGUUGGAAGAGUUUUGUUAUCCCUCUUCCAGCAAUCGUACAAGGGCUUCAAAGGGAAGUUUUUCAAAAUACGGUGUAGCAAAUUCAACCCCACCCUACUGGACGGGUUCCCUCUUUAUUGGGUGAAAGAACCAGGGCUCAAGAAACCUAGGUGCCUUGAGGACUUAACCCCGCGUGACCGAGAAGUGUGUGAUUUCUUCUCCAACUUGGAAGUGGUGUUUAGCACCGCUGAGUUGAUCAAGCUCGAGUACAGCCCCAGGUCCCUUAAGGGCUAUAUUGGUAGAAAUGGGUCUUGAUCAAGGUGACAACUUGUAGAAAUGGGUGUGUUGAUUGCCUUGUACUGGUCCAUCUCAAACUUUCUCAGCAGUUCUUUGCAAUAUUUAGCUUGAUUUAUAAAGAUCUCGUCUCUUAGUUUUUUGACUUGUAGACCAAGGAAAUAAUUCAGCUCCCCCAUCAUUGACAUCUCAACUUCACUCUUCAUAACCUUUACAAAUGCUUCACAUAAACCUUUAUUUGUAGAACCGAAAAUGAUAUCAUCCACAUAUACCUGUACAAGUAUAAUGUCUUCACCCUUUUUCUUAAUGAACAAUAUCUUAUUGGAUGUACCACGGUUAUAGCCCUGAGACAAUAGAAAUUCACUCAAUCUUUCAUACCAUUGCCUAGGAGCUUGUUUAAGUCCAUAGAGUGGCUUUUUGAGCUUGAAUAGAUGAUCAGGAAAUUUAUAAUCCUCAAUUCCUGGGGGUUGUGAAACAAAGACCUUUUCGUUUAAGUAACCAUUUAGGAAUGCACUUGUGACAUCCAUUUGGAACAACUUGAAUCCCUUUAUGCAUGAUAAGGCUAGGAGAAGUCUGACAGCUUCAAGUCUUGCUAUUGGUGCAUAUGUUUCAUCAUAAUUGAUUCCCUCUUCCUAGUUAUAACCCUUGGCUACUAACCUUGCUUUGUUCCUUGUGAUUACCCCAUGCCCAUCCAUCUUGUGUCUGUACACCCACUUAGUCCCUAUGACAUUCAUCUCGGAUGUUCUUGGAACUAGAGACCAUACUUCAUUCCUUGUAAACUGAUUCAACUCUUCUUGCAUAGCCAAAAUCCAAUUGUUGUCUUGUAAAAAGUCAUUCAAAUUUUUAGGCUCAACUUGUGAAACAAAUGCCAUUGUUUCAUAGAAGUUGUUCAGAGACUUCCUGGUUGAGGCCCCUUUUUCAAUGUUUCCAAUCACAUUCUCAAGUUUUAAAUCUCUAGGAGUCUUCCAUUCUUUGGGCAAAUCUUCACUAACAACAGGUUCUUUGACAACACAUGAACCAGUUGUAUCUAAAUCAAUCAAUUGAUUCUUUUGAAGUACAACUCUUAAAUCUACUUCAAGUUCAUCCACAAUAGGUUUAAGCAAGUAAUUAUUUAAUUCAUCAAACACAACAUGCAUGGAUUCCUCCACAGUUAGCAAUCUUUAAUUGUAAACCCGAUAAGCGUGACCAUUAAUAACAUAAUCAAUAUGUAUACCCUUAUCAGAUUUAGGAUCGAAUUUCCUCAUAUUAUCUUUCCCAUUAUUUAAGAUAAAGCAUUUACACCCAAACACUCUAAGAUGGCUUAUAUUAGGCUUUCUACCCUUAUAGAGUUCAUAGGGAGUUUUCUUAAGAAUUGACCUAAUUAAGAUUAUGUUUAGCACAUAUGAAGCAGUGUAUACAACAUCUGCCCAGAAAUAUUUGGAAAGAUUAGAUUCGUUUAAUAUGGUCCUGGCAAGCUUCUCGAGUGAUCUAUUUUUCCUUUCUACUACACCAUUUAGUUGGGGAGUCAUAGGGGCUGAAUAAUUAUGUGUGAUCCCAUGUUUUUCACAAAAUCUAUCAAACUUAGCAUUUUGAAAUUCUCCCCCAUGAUCACUUCGAAUUGAUUUUAUGUUGUAACCAUUUUCAUUUUGCAAUGUUUUAACCAAUUUCAUGAAAGCCUCAUAAGCAUCAUUUUUAGAAACAAGAAAGAGAGUCCUGUUAGGGGGGUGAAUUGUUUUCAAAAGAUUUUCGCACAACUUGGCUUAGAAUGAAAUUUUUAACAAUUAACUCAGAAAAGCAAUCCAGAAGGCUAACCAAAAAACAAACAGAAACAGGUAGAAGAAAUUCAACCAAUUGAAAUUACGAUUCAAUAGGUUGUUUAUGACAGCGGAAAAUACAAACAGAUAAUGAGAGAAGAGAUAAAGAGAAUUACACUUAGAGUUUAUACUGGUUCACUCAAUCACAAAGCUACAUCCAGUCCUCAGCCAAACCACUGAGUAUUCACUAGGCAAUCAAUCACAAAUUACACAUACACCAACCACAAAGAAGUGACUUUGAAUCCGACAAAGCCUUCUCACCUUCUUUGCACACAACAAACACCUCAAGCCAGAAUCAUACUGACUUUACAGGAUUUUACCACAGUUCUACAGAAAGUAAUAUUGAACAAUUACAAGAACUUGAACAAGAUAGGAAAACACCUAAAAUCUUUAUACACCAGAACCCUAUUGAUCAGUUCUCUGAACCACAACAAAGCUUCAAAGGCAAUCUUGUUAAAACAAACUUGGUAGAAAACUUUUCACAAACGAUUUGUAAUCUUUCAAAUCAAAACACAAUCAGAGUAUCAAAUAACUUCUGUUUCAUCAAUCUUUUUUUGUUGAAACUAAGACUCAUUUUAUAUACCUUGAAAAGCUAUCAUGACUUCAGUUUCAAAAGAUCAAAACAGUUAAAACAGACUUUUAAAAAAAUGUUUGUGAAAACACACAUUUAAUCGUUUAAAACCACGAUUCAACCGAUUGAAUGGUUUUGUCAGUUAUGCAACUGAUUCAAAAAACAGUUUUAAAACAGCUCUGUCAGCUAAGUGACAAACAAUCGAUUAUUUCGAAACUUUAAUCGGUUGGUUUUCCCUUUGCAUGAAAAAACACUUUAAUCUUUAAAAACAGAUUGUAAAAAGUUUUGCCUGAGUAUCAACACUGAUCUUACAACAAUUCUAAACCCCAAACCAAAACCUAAACUUAAAACAUCACACAACUUCAGGCUCCAAGAGGAUAUGGCACAUCAAAGCUUCCCAUCUUCAACAAUCUCCCCCUAUUUGAUGGAGACAAAUCCCUGUGAUGCUUUUUAGAAAGGUUCCUUGUUUAGAAUUUGUUGAAUCAUGUAAUUACUAAACAAACACAGAAUAGUCUAAUCCAAACAAAUAACACUAUAUAACAGAUUUCAAAAAUAAGCAGAACCUGUAAAAGAACAAUCGGUUAUAAUACAAAGAUAACCGGCUGAAAAACUGUUAAACCAGAAAACAACAGUUUUAAACAUUAAAACCAGAAACAGUUCGACAUAAACAUCUCCCAAUAACCCUUCUCCCCCUAUUUGUCUCAUCAAAUAGACAAAUUAAAAGAAGAUAUGACUAAGAUAGAGCAUUCAUAUCAAGGAUUCUAAAUUCAUUUCGUAGAGUAUAAAACCUGUCCUUUGAUAGAGGGUUGGUGAAGAUAUCAACAAGUUGUCUUUCUGUGGAAACGAACUUGAUUUCAUAAUCACCAUUGGUUACAUGAUCUCGAAUGAAGUGGUGUCUUAUUUCAAUGUGCUUUGUCCUUGAGUGCUGAAUAUGAUUCUUUGUCAAGUGAAUAGCACUUGUGUUAUCACAGAGGAGAGGAACUUUACUAAUCUUUAAUCCAAAAUCUUCAAGUUGUUGUUUAAUACAUAGAAUCUGUGCACAGCAGCUACCAGCAACUAUGUAUUCAGCUUCAGCAGUGGAUAAAGCUACACACGCUUGCUUCUUACUAUUCCAUGAAAUAAGACUUGAUCCAAGUAAGUGGCAUGUUACACUAGUACUCUUCGUGUCUAGUUUGCAACCUGCAAAAUCCGAAAUCAGAAUAACCUACUAAAUGUAUAGGAGAAAGAGAGGGAUACCAUAAGCCCAUGGAUAUUGUGCCUUUCAGAUAUUUCAGGAUCCUCUUUGCAGCCUUGAGAUGUGAUUCCUUGGGACAAGACUGAAAUCUAGAACACAAACACACAACAAAAAUAAUGUUCGGUCUGCUCGCAAUUAGAUAGAGAAGUGAACCUAUUAAACCUAUGUACAUGGUUUGAUUAACCUCUGGUCCAGCCUCAUCAGUUUCCAAAUAGCAGUUUGUUGACAUUGGGGUUGUUGCUGCUUUGCAUGCUUCCAUCUCGAACUUCUUAAGGAUGCCUUUACAAUACUUUGAUUGACAUAUGAAGAUUCAUUCUUUGAAUUGUUUAAUUUGUAGAUCGAGAAAGAAUGAAAGUUCUCCCAUCAUUGAUAUUUCGAGCUCCCCCUUCAUAGCUUUGACAAAGUCCUCACAAAGUUUUUCAUUAGACGAGCCAAAUACAAUAUCAUCUACGUAAAUUUGUACUAAGAUAAUAUCAGUUCCAAAUUUCUUAAAGAACAAAGUCUUAUCUACCUUACCUCUUUCAUACUCAUGAGAUAAAAGAAAAAGACUUAGCCUUUCAUACCAUUGACGUGGGGCUUGUUUGAAUCCGUACAAUGCUUUCUUAAGCUUGUAGACAUGCUCUGGAUGUUUGUGAUCUUCAAAGUCAGGUGGUUGUGAAACAUAUAUCUCCUCAUUCACGAUUCCAUUGAGAAAUGCACUUUUCACAUCCAUCUGAAACAAUAUUUUGAAACCACUCAUACAGGCAAAAGCUAAUAACAAUCUUACUGCUUCCAACCUUGCUACAGGUGCAAAGGUUUCAUCAUAAUCGAUCCCCUCAGCUUGAUUGUAUCCUUUGGCCACGAGUCUCGCUUUGUUCCUUGUAAUGAUGCCUGAGUCAUCAGAUUUAUUUCUGAACACCCACUUAGUACCUACCAUAUUCCUUUGAUCGGUUUUUGGAACAAGAGUCCAGACAUCAUUCCUUACAAACUGGUUAAGUUCCUCUUACAUUGAUCUUGUCCAGUAUUCAUCCUUGAGAUCCUCACUCACUGAUUGAGGUUCGAUCUUAGAAACAAAUGAAGAAUGAUUGCAUACUUUUGCCACAUGCCUUCUAGUGGAAACUCCUUUGUGGAUUUGACCUAUGAUAUUGUCAAUAGACAGAUCCUUAGGAACCUUCCAGUCUUUUGGAAGAUCUUCCUGCUGUAGAUUUUCAGUCGGUUGAAUCGAGGAUUCAAUCGGUUGAAUCGAGGAUUCAAUCGGUUGAAAUUUUGUGUUGCUGUCAAGAUUCUUUAAGAAGAUGUUUUACUCAUCCUCAUCUGUAUUGAUCUUAGAUACAGCUUGUUCACACUUCUUAGUCUCAUAAAAAAUGACAUGUAUUGAUUCCUCUACUGACAUAAGCUUUUUAUUAAAGACUCUAUAGGCAUGACUAUUAAGAGAGUAGCCAAGAAAGAUAACUGGGUCAGAUUUAGCAUCAAACUUACCUAAGCUUUCUUUGCCAUUGUUGAGAAUAUAACACUUACAUCCAAAGACUUUUAGGUGGCUCGCGUUUGGCUUUCUCUCGUUCAGCAACUCAUAAGGAGUUCUCUUCAAAAUAGUCGAAUCAGCACGCGGUUUAUCAUGUAGCAGGCAGUGCUCACAACAUCAGCCCAUAAGCAUUUUGGUAGAGCAUAGUCAUUUAGGAUAGUCCUUGCAAGCUCUUCUAGAGACCUGUUCUUUCUUUCCACCACACCAUUCUGUUGGGGUGUUCUUGGUGCUGAGAAGUUAUGAGAAAUCCCUAACUUGUUACAGAAGCUAAUGAACUUUUCAUUUUGAAACUCUCCCCCAUGAUCACUUCUUAUGGCCCCUAUGUUGCUGCAACAUCUAUUCUGAAGUUUCCUUGCAAGCUUCUUAAAUUCUGAAUAUGUUUCCUUCUUUGUGUGUAGAAAGAGUGUCCAAGUGUACCUGGAAAAAUCAUCUACAACUACAAGUGCAUACAGAUUUCCUCCAAGACUCAUAGUUCUAGAAGGUCCAAAAAGAUCCAUGUGCAAAAGUUCAAGGGGUUUUGAGGUUGAAACACAGUUUUUCAAGUUAAAAGGUUUUCUAGUUUGUUUCCCCCCUUUAACAUGCUUCACACACAUGUUCUUUUUCAAAUCUGAUUUUGGGUAAGCCAUAAACAAGUUCACUGGAAACAAGCUUAUUUAAAUGAUUCAUAUGAAAAUAAGCAAACCUUCUAUGCCAUAGCCAUGAUUCCUCAUGCUUUGACAAAAGACAACCUAUUGAAGUAUGACUAGAUAUAUCAAGCAAAUAAAUGUUGUUUGAUCUCUUACUAAUGAGAAGAACAUCCUUUGAAUUAGGCAACCUGAUCUCACAUGAAUUGGUCCUAAAGGUUACUUGAUAACCUUUGUCACACAACUGACUAAUACUGAGCAGGUUGUGCUUCAAACCUUCAACAUAAAGCACAUCAUGAAUAAGCAAACUACUUUCGUUACCUAUUGUACCUUUGCCAAGAAUUUUUCCUUUGUUGUUGUCACCGUAGGUUACAUGGCCAUCUGGUUUGAGAGAAACACUGAUGAAGCUGGAUGCAUCACCUGUCAUGUGUUUUGAGCAUCCACUAUCUAGAUACCAUAAGUGUUGUUUUCUCUCCAAACAACCCUGCAAAAAAGACAGAAUCAAGUUGCUAGAUCUGGUCCCCUUGUGAAUUUGGGUUCAUAGGUGUUAAUGUAUUUCCAAGAAUCAUUAGACUCCUUAGGAAUCCAUUUCAAAAUACCCUUAGGUACAAAAAAACCUUAUGAUUCUAAAGAACCUAAUAGAAUGUCCCUUUUUCAUGCAAUAGAAACAACAAACAACCAGUUGUUUCGAACUUUUAAUCGAUUGUUUUUUAGUGAAAGUUGAAAAGGAUUUUGUGCACCCAGUUUGCUUGCUUUGAGGGUUAAAACCCAAGCCAGAUUUUCCAAAAACACAUGUUUGGGAUGCCAACACAUUUUCAAAGUUUGAUUUUCCUUUCGAAAUGAUAUCAAUUGUUUUCACAAGAUAUAAGACUUUCUCUUGAAGAGACUCACAGUUUUUGCACAAAUUUGAAUCACAUUUCCAAGAGGAUUUUUCAUGCAUCAACUCAUAGGAUAGUUUUGACCACAAAACCGAGGUGGUUUGUUCAAAGAUGCACCUUGCCCAAAAAAACUUUUAUCAGCCAUCAAAAGAUUUUUAAAAACCAAAAUUCAAGAGUAACUUUCAAGAACCUUGCUCUUGAUGCCAAUUGUUAGAAUUGGUGGCUAAAACAAGAGGGGGGGUAAAUUAUUUUCAAAUUUUUAACAAUCAACUCAGAAAAGCAAUCCAGAAGGCUAACCAAAAAACAAACAGAAACAGGUAGCAAAAAUUCAACCGGUUGAAAUUACGAUUCAAUUGGUUGUUUAUGACAGCGGAAAAUCAAACAGUUAAUGAGAGAAAAGAUGGAUAAAAUUACACUUAGAGUUUAUAUUGGUUCACUCAAUCACAGAGCUACAUCUAGUCCUCAACCAAACCACUGAGUAUUCACUGGGCAAUCAAUCACAAAUUACACAUACACCAACCACAAAGAAGUGACUUUGAAUCCCACAAAGCCUUUUCACCUUCUUUGCACACAACAAACACCUCAAGCCAGAAUCACAUUGACUUUACAGGAUUUUACCACAGUUCUAUAGAAAGUAAUAUUGAACAAUUACAAGAACUUGAAAGAGAUAGGAAAACACCUGGAAUCUCUAUAUACCAGAACCCUAUUGAUCAGUUCAUUGAACCACAACAAAGCUUCAAAGGCAAUCUUGCUAAAACAAACUUGGUAGAAAACUUUUGUAAUCUUUCAAAUCAAAACACAAUCAAAGUAUCAAAUAACUUCUGUUUCAUCAAUCUUUUUUUGUUGAAACUAAGACUCAUUUUAUAUACCUUGAAAAGCUAUCAUGACUUCAGUUUCAAAAGAUCAAAACAGUUAAAACAGACUUUUAAAAAAAUGUUUGUGAAAACACACAUUUAAUCGGUUAAAAUCACGAUUCAACCGAUUGAAUAGUUUUGUCAGUUAUGCAACUGAUUCAAAAAAAUAAUUUUAAAACAACUUUGCCAGCUAAGUGACAAACAACCGAUUAUUUCGAAACUUUAAUCGGUUGUUUUUCCCUUUGCAUAGAAAAACACUUUAAUCUUUAAAAACAGAUUGUAAAAAGCUUUGCCUAAGUAUCAAAAUUGAUCUUACAACAAUUCUAAACCCGAAACCAAAACCUAAACCUAAAACAUCACACAGCUUCAUGCUCCAAGAGGAUUUGGCACAUCAAAGCUUCCCAUCUUCAACAGACCUAUAUUCUGAAAAGCAAUUUUCAAAACCUUUAGAAAGCAGUUUCAAUAGAUAAGGAUCCUGAACAAGAUUGUUUAGUUGAUCUUUAACACUUGUAUAUAUUACUCAGUCAAAGAUUACAUAUACUAUGAAUGUUAACCAAGAUCAAAGUCUUGUCAAAAUCUCGAAAACCAGAAUAUGAUUUAACCUAACAACAGUUAAAACAACAAAUUCAAUUUUAAAACAACAGAUUCAUUUUAUCACAGAUUACUAGAUUUUAGAUUUCAAGCAGUGAUCAAGAAGAGAUAAAGGCACACACAGUGUUAUACUGGUUCACUCAACAAGAGCUACAUCCAGUCUCACUUUAUACAAAGAUGGAUUUCACUAAUGCAAAAGAAUCUUUACAAACACUUAUUGGUUCUUGAACCCUCGAGGAACAAGAUUACAAGCUGAAAAAAUCUAUUUCAGCAACAUACACACCUCUAGAAACACUAUCAAGAGGCACAAAUAUAAUCACUAUUAAAUAAGAAAAAUAUAGGAAGGAAAACACCUAGACUGCAGAUACAAAAAGUUCGAAACAAAACCCUCACAAAUGCAGCACAAGACUGAACCUUGAAUCUUUAACCAAAAGUCAUCAGCACAAGAGAACUUGAAGUUUUUAAGAAGUCAUCAGUAAAUUUCAAACUCUCACUAAAAGCACUUGAAAACUGUAUGAAAAUCGUGAUUGCAAGGUGUGUCUUGACCUGAGAUCAACCCCUCCUUUUAUAGGUUUCAUAUCAAAACAGUCAAGAACUGUUAUAAAAAUAACAGAUUGAAGUUCAAAAGAACAUAUAUUUUUGAAAAAUACACAUGGUGAUAACAUAACCACUUUCAGAUUAGUUGCUAACGGUAACUGUGAGCAAAACUGAAUUUGGAAUCAAAACUGAAUAUUUGAAAAAACUUAAUAGCUUUGCACUAGUAAAAAAAAAAAACAAUUGUUUUGUCAAGCAAUAGAUUGAUUUUUCUGCACUAAACUAGUUUUUGAAAAAACUUGAAACAAACUUUGAAAAUAAACCCUUCUCCUUUAAAUCCUAAAAGGCCCCUUGAAAACAAUUCUUCUUCAAAAUCCCCCCACGACACAUCCUAAGAACCCGACACAAUUAUUUCAAAGGUCUAUGAAUCGUACAAACCCAAAGUGCUUGCAUCCAGCCUCCUUUAUAUAAAAACUUCGCUCACUCAGCCCAUCUUUGGAAGAACUUAAACAUAUCAAGUUGGCUAAAACCAAAAGGAAAAUUUGAGAAAAAGAGAGUAGUUUUACGGUUCAUCAUGCAGUUUUUUCCCUUCACUUAAUGUUCACCUUAAUAAUUAUGAAAUUGAGUGACUGAGUAUGUUUUACUUGGUAUGUCAUGAUUUUCUUCUUCUCAAUUGAUUCUAGAGGAAGAUAUAUAAAAUAAUUUAAAAUAAAAUAAUUUAAGUUUAAUACAUUUAAAUGUUGUAUAUUUAUGAAAUUCUCUAUUGAAAAAAAAGAGAAGGUAAAGGGUUAUUUUCGAGUGGUCACAAAAUUACUAUUGUGAUAAUGUCUUACAGUGUGAAUUUUAAACAUUUAAAUUACUGUAUUGCACCAUAAUGCAAUUAAAGAGUCACAGGAGAGAACCUUACCUUUGCUUUUUUAUUCGUUUGAAGAAAUAAAUAUAGGUUUAAAUUUCAUAUUUCUAUUUUAAUUUUUAAGUUCCAAUGAUCAAAUAAGUGUGCUCAUUAAGAAUAUUAAGAAAUGUGAGACACACAGGCAGAGAGAUACUUUUCGAUAUCCUAACAUAUUACUUAAUAUUUUUUAUUAUUAAUUUAUUUUAAUUAUUUGAACAUUUUAUAAUUUUAGAAGUUAAUAAAACAGAUUUUUAAUUUUAAAAUUUUAUUUUAUUUGUUCUCACUUAAUUGACAAAAGGAUGGAGAGAUUAGUAAGUAAAUUUUAUUUUAUUAUUACCUAAUUAGCAAGAAAGUAGAGAAAUUGAUACGUUAAUAUUUUAUUUUAUUUAUGGUCACUUAACUCGCAGGAGAGUGAAGAAAUUGAUUGUCUUAUUUAAAAAAGUUAUGUUUGAAUAUAGAACAAUUUUUAAUUUUUCUCUCUCUUAUUUUACAACUCUUUUUUUCAAAUCUCUUAAAACCCAAUAACAUAUUUCUCAUACAUACAAAUACACAUGAAUUUACAUUGAAAUAAAUAUAUCUAUAUAUAUAAUAAUAGUAAAAAUAAAAACUAGAUGUAGAACGGCCUAUGUUAUGUUCGCGCUAAUAUUAUUAAAAAUAUAUAUAAGUUGAUAGUUAGAAUAAUUAUAAUUUUUUACAUUUUCUGCGUAUAGAAUUAUAUAAUAAUUGCAGAACGUCAUACAGUCAUUCGCCUCAAUAAUACCCAUGACAUUUAUGGUGUUUAGAGGAAAAUGAAGAUAUAAAAUUUUCAAUAACUUCCAACUAAUUCUUUCUCCGGACAUUAUUACAAUCGAAGGAUCUUUAUAUAUUAUUAUUUCAUUGUUAUAUAAUUAUUUUAUUGAAAAAAUCAGUUAUUAAAUAAAUAUAUUUAAUGAAUGAAUAAUUUUUGGUGUAACAAAAUCAAUUUUCAUUGAAUUUUAAUUAUACAGAUUUCAUGGUGAUUUGACAAAGUAUCUCAACCACAAUUAUAUUCUCAAUAUUUUUUUUUUGUGCUCCAACCUUAUAUAACAAUACUAUUUACCGAGUGCAAGACACAUACGACAAAGAAAUUCAAAACAGAUAAUAGCUGCAACCUAUUAUGCUUCUAAAGGGACUAGAGCAUGACAAUAAAACCACCACACCAAAGCAGCAAUAUUUUCAUCCCCAGAGCAUUGAAACAUCUCCAAUUAAGACCAGCUUUAGAAUUACCAAAGGGACAUACUUUUAGGAACAGCUUCCAACUAGUGAGCUUCAAUAACAACCAUAGUUCUUUACUUCCUCUUCAGGGAUUGUAAGGUUUCUGAUCUGCUAAGUGCUAGAAUCUGCAUUUGAACAAGUAGGGGAUGACUUCCGCAGCAUUACCAAUAUGUGGCACCUCACACAAACCAUUGCAAACAUCUCCUUGUGAUAGCCACGAUUGAGAUCCACCUAAAGUUCAAGAAUCAUCCAAUUUACACUUACUUGGUUCAUUCAACAGAUCAUGCUCACCAAAAGUGCUCCUGGUGGGACCAUAUAUAUUGCAGUAAUUGUAAUUAUAUUUGGAAAUAAGAGCCAUGUUUAGAACACUUUUUCUUUUUAAUAUAUGUAUCGUUUUAGUUACAUUUUUGUAGAAAGUUUUCUUUGUAUUUGUUUCAAUAAUGAGAGUGGUGGAGCCCAACUUAAUUAUUAUUUUGAAAAGAACAUUUAUAAACAUUUAUGGUCUUUAAUGGCUAUUGAUGAAGAUAUAAAUUUCCAGGUGUUAGUUCCAACUAAUUGUUUGUCUGUACAAUACAAUUGAAAAUAACAUCUUGAUGUUAGUGGUGAUUGAUGAACAGAGAUAGGGAGUGCUCCUUUACGUGGUUCGAAGAAGUGAUUGGCCUAUAUAAAGCAACUUCUGCUAUAAUCAGUGCCAACAAUUUAUCUUAUUUUGGAAAUGUUCGUUAACUCUUAAAUAUGUCAUGAGUCUCAGCAGUUUUAUAGUGUAGUUCCUUCAUAAUUCAAACUCUUUAAUCUAUUAUAUUCUCUUUAGUAUAUCAAGAGUUCAGUGGUCGGUUUAAAAAGGGAAAAAAUGUGGGUUCUAUGUCUUGCAACAUUGUUUUUUAUAGGAAUAACUCAUUGGGUUUAUAGAUGGAGAAACCCUAGUUGCAAUGGAAAACUCCCACCUGGUUCAAUGGGUUUGCCCCUUCUUGGUGAAUCCCUUAAGUUCUUCACCCCCUACACUUCUUCUGAUAUUCAUCCAUUCAUAAAGCAGAAAGUGGAGAGGUAUAAUAUAUGCAAGCUUCUCGUUUUUCAUGAGUUUU
Molecule: long non-coding RNA, 17434 nt
Filed under: Phaseolus vulgaris (common bean)
Lineage: Eukaryota; Viridiplantae; Streptophyta; Magnoliopsida; Fabales; Fabaceae
Description: long non-coding RNA (PVUL_LNC002912)
Source: RNAcentral